Molecule: long non-coding RNA, 367 nt
Organism: Lemur catta (Ring-tailed lemur)
Lineage: Eukaryota; Metazoa; Chordata; Mammalia; Primates; Lemuridae
Exons: 3
Source: RefSeq, a predicted model, not a curated record
GGCGCUUUCCUAAAGGAAGCAGCGUGGUCUGGGAGGGCACGGUGGCCCUGGCAAGCGACUGACAUGGUGGCCGCCGGCGACGCCCCUCCUGCUUUGCGACCUUGGGAAGCCCCCGACUGCAGUGGCGCCUGGAGAUACUCUAGUGCUAACUCUAACAUCAGGGACUGCGCUGCCUGCCUCUUCCGUAGAUGACUUAGGCCAUAAUACAAUUUGGCUGGAAUUAUCACAGUUGAGAGUACAGGAAAUAUAAAAUGGAGCUGAUCAUACUGGAGGAAUCCACUAUGGCGAAAAAGCUGUCUUAAUCAUCCACAUGGAAACGAUUGAGGUUGGAGGAGAGGAAGAACCACAGACAGGAGAAAGGCCAAGU